GCCCACGGCCAUAGGACCCUGCGAACGCCCGAUCUCAUCUGAUCUCGGAAGGGAGGCAGGUCGGGCCCAGUGAGUACUUGGAUGGGAGACCGCCUGGGAAUACCGGGUGCUGUAGGCU
RNAcentral lists this ribosomal RNA (118 nucleotides) under Aptenodytes forsteri (emperor penguin). Lineage: Eukaryota; Metazoa; Chordata; Aves; Sphenisciformes; Spheniscidae. The record is from RNAcentral.